GAUGAACGCUGGCGGCGUGCUUAACACAUGCAAGUCGAACGGGAAACUUUUCAUUGAAGCUUCGGCAGAUUUGGUCUGUUUCUAGUGGCGGACGGGUGAGUAACGCGUGGGUAACCUGCCUUAUACAGGGGGAUAACAACCAGAAAUGGUUGCUAAUACCGCAUAAGCGCACAGGACCGCAUGGUCCGGUGUGAAAAACUCCGGUGGUAUAAGAUGGACCCGCGUUGGAUUAGCUAGUUGGCAGGGCAACGGCCUACCAAGGCGACGAUCCAUAGCCGGCCUGAGAGGGUGAACGGCCACAUUGGGACUGAGACACGGCCCAGACUCCUACGGGAGGCAGCAGUGGGGAAUAUUGCACAAUGGGGGAAACCCUGAUGCAGCGACGCCGCGUGAAGGAAGAAGUAUCUCGGUAUGUAAACUUCUAUCAGCAGGGAAGAUAGUGACGGUAC
RNAcentral lists this ribosomal RNA (449 nucleotides) under uncultured bacterium. Its description in RNAcentral is "bacterial SSU rRNA". It matches the Rfam family "Bacterial small subunit ribosomal RNA", at positions 28 to 478 of the family's 1533-position model. The record is from RNAcentral.